GUUUAAAAUGAAGUCAUAAGUAUCAGAAGUUAACCAUGAUUACCGAUAAAAUGAUUGUUUAAAGGCUAAAUAUUAAAUAAUAAAUUCACUAGCCUAAACAUAUACUACGAUUGUCAAUGAUAGCUUUUUACGUCAUCAUAGAUACCAGGAUUACAAUUUUGAAAGCCUGACGCGCGAUUCGUAUUCAUAAGACACACUAGUUUCGCAAA
This 209-nucleotide long non-coding RNA is filed under the name Mytilus galloprovincialis (Mediterranean mussel). Lineage: Eukaryota; Metazoa; Mollusca; Bivalvia; Mytilida; Mytilidae. The record is from RNAcentral.